UUAUUUUCGGUGCUUUAACAAUGUUUUUUUGUUCAAAAAAUUGUGCACCAGAGAAGCGCGGUUACGGAGUGUAGUGUGUGCGUGCGUGUAUAAAAUGGCUAGCUUUGAAGAAAAAACGAAGACAGACAUUUGAGAGAGAGAUGGCAAGGCGGCUUUCCAAGUUACAGUACCGUCCUCUUACUGCCUCGAGCAAGCUUUCGGUGAUCCCCUUCUCCACCACUGUCUCUGCCGAAAACCCGCAAAAUUCCACCACCGCCGAUGGACAAGACCACCUCAUUAACGACCAAAUCCACAACCUUCGUGUCCUCCUUCAACAAGGCCGCAACGAAACUGCUUAUAACUUCACCAAAUCUCUCAUUCUGUCCAACCCAUCUUCAUUUUCCUCACCUUCUCACCUUCUCUCUUUUUUCUCUUCCUUUUCUGAUGAUGCUUCUUUAAAUCUUACUCUCUCCGAUAUGUUGCUCUCUGUUUGUUCUGAGUCCAAGAUGCACAGUCAAGUUUCAGAAUUGUACGAUUUCAUGAGGAAAGAGGGGCGGCUUCCUUCGUUUGGUUAUGUGAGGAUGAUUGUUGAAUCUUUGGUGGAAUCCAAGAAAUUUGAUAACGUUCUUGAUUUGUUUAAGGAGAUGGUGGGCUUGGGUUUUAGACCUGAUAAACUUGUUUAUGGGAGAGCAAUCCUAGCCGCAGUGAAAUUGGGGGAUUUGAAGCUUGCUAUGGAGUUGUUUGAGACCAUGAAAAGGAGGAAAGUUGUUCCUAAUGUGUUUGUUUACAAUGUUUUGAUUGGUGGGUUGUGUAAGGAGAAGAGGAUAAGGGAUGCGGAGAAGCUGUUUGGUGAAAUGUCUGUGAGGAAUUUGGUGCCAAAUAGGGUGACUUUUAAUACGCUUAUUGAUGGAUAUUGUAAGGCAGGGGAGGUGGAUGCGGCGAUUGGCUUGAGAGAAAGGAUGAAAAAGGAGAAGGUGGAGCCGAGUAUAAUUACUUUUAACUCGUUGCUUAGUGGCCUUUGUAGGGCACGGAGAAUCGAGGAGGCGAGGUGUAUGUUGAACGAGAUAAAAUGCAAUGGUUUUGUGCCUGAUGGGUUUACUUACAGCAUAAUUUUUGAUGGACUAUUGAAGUCGGAUGACGGGGCAGGAGCUGCUUUGGAUUUGUAUCGGGAGGCAAUUGGGAAGGGAGUCAAGAUUGAUAAUUACACUUGUAGUAUUCUGUUGAAUGGAUUGUGUAAAGAAGGGAAAGUUGAAAAGGCAGAGGAGGUGUUGAAGUCCCUCGUGGAACACGGGCUCGUUCCAGGUGAGGUGAUAUAUAACACUAUGGUGAAUGGUUAUUGUCAAAUAGGCGACAUGGAUAGAGCCAUUUUGACUAUUGAGCAAAUGGAAAGUCGUGGGUUGAGACCAAAUUGUAUUGCUUUUAAUUCUGUGAUUGAUAAGUUUUGUGAAAUGCAGAUGAUAGACAAGGCGGAGGAAUGGGUGAAGAAGAUGGUGGGGAAGGGAAUAGCCCCAAGCGUGGAGACAUAUAAUAUCCUUAUUGAUGGCUAUGGAAGGCUGUGUGUAUUUUCUAGGUGUUUCCAGAUUCUUGAAGAAAUGGAGGAAAAUGGGAAAAAGCCGAAUGUUAUAAGCUACGGCUCUCUCAUAAAUUGUUUAUGCAAGGAUGGGAAAAUUCUUGAGGCAGAAAUGGUCCUUAGGGAUAUGGUAGGCAGAGGGGUCUUACCUAAUGCAAAUAUAUAUAAUAUGCUUAUUGAUGGUAGUUGUACAGUGGGGAAGUUGAGAGAGGCUUUGAGAUUCUUUGAUGAGAUGUCGAAAAAUGAGAUUGGUGCAACGAUUGUAACAUACAAUUCCCUCAUUAAAGGGUUAUGCAAAAUGGGAAAGGUAAAGGAAGCUGAAGAGAUGUUUUUCCUAAUUACCAGUACGGGUCACUGUCCUGAUGUGAUCACAUACAACUCCUUAAUCUCAGGGUACUCAAAUGCUGGAAACUCGCAGAAAUGUCUUGAGCUAUAUGAAACUAUGAAGAAGUUAGGCUUAAAACCUACUAUAAAUACAUUUCAUCCCCUAAUCAGCGGGUGCAGCAAGGAAGGGAUAAAGCUCAAAGAGACACUGUUUAAUGAAAUGUUGCAGAUGAAUGUGUCCCCAGAUCGAGUUGUGUACAAUGCUAUGAUUCACUGUUAUCAAGAGACUGGGCAUGUUCAAAAGGCAUUUUCUUUGCAAAAAGAGAUGGUAGACAUGGGAGUUCAUCCUGAUAACAAGACCUAUAAUAGUUUGAUUCUGGGCCGCUUAAAAGAGGGGAAGUUAUCGGAAACAAAAGUUCUUGUUGAUGACAUGAAGGCUAAAGGAUUAAUCCCUGAAGCUGAUACCUAUAGUUUGCUGAUAAAGGGACAUUGUGACCUGAAGGAAUUUAAUGGAGCAUAUGUUUGGUAUAGAGAAAUGCUUGAGAACGGUUUCCUUCCUAAUGUCUGCAUCUGCAAUGAGCUAUCCACUGGCCUUAGAAAGGAAGGGAGGUUGCAAGAGGCCCAGAGCAUCUGCUCUGAAAUGAUUGCUAAUGGAAUGGAUAAUUUGGACACCAAUGAGGACCUCUCUGAUGUUGCCAAAAUAAAAUUUUUGCAGGCAACACAACAGCACCGAUGCUCAUUAACGAUCAGAUGCUAGCAGUUGAAAUGUGUAGGCAGAGUUCCCUUGUAGUCGCGUUCUCCAGUUCCCAGUUACUUAUCUCAAGUUUGAUCCGACAAGUGAAAUCCGAGAAUUUUCAUCUGCGAAACUGUCAAAACAUCCAAAUCAUGACGUUUGAUAUUCACAUGUGAUUCUUUUUCCAAACUACGAGUUCUUUGCUCUUCUUGUUGCACUAGGCAAGUGUAACGGUGCCAGUUCAUUGGAAUAUGUCAUGACAAACACGAAUGCAAUCGACCCUUCAUUCCUAAAGCCUCUCUUUCGUGCUCCAUCUUUCUCUUGUCUUCUUCACUGCUGUUUUUCACUGGCUUGCUGUGCAGUGCUGGCUAUUUUCCCAGUGCUGCUUCACUGUGUUUCAAUCAAUUGGUUCUUUGACAAAUAGUUUAUGGUUGUGACACAGGAGUGUCCCGUAAUGGUUGUUUUGAUGUUGGGCUACUUGAGUUUGGGUUGGCAAUGCAAAUGAAUGAAGCUGCUGUUUACGCUCAGCCCCUGACCUAAUUUUCAUCUCUUUAUUGUAGGCUCAGCAGAGAACAGUUGAUAAUUUUACCAAGAAGGAUAGAAAAUGAAAAUCAUCAUUGACAAGAACGGUGAUGCACUGAAUAACUAGAAAAUCAAGGCCCAGGUGGGCGUGCAGGCUGUGGGAAGGCAAGAAUCACAAUGCAGCAACGAUUUUCCCAGAUUUGUCAAGCUCCCAGCCAUUUCAAAUUUUAACGAUUAUGAUUACCAGUGCAAUGUUUUAUUCUCACCUCAGAGUUUGCUUUGCAAGAUGGGUACCUCAAUAUGAAACACCAUGUAGCCUAAAGCGUUCAUCAUCUAGACCAGCACAACUACUACAAAAUAAAGAAGCAACGGAACUAUUUGAGAAUCCAGCUAACCUCUUACUUAGACUACCACGUCUACCAUGUUCUUACCACUACGUGCAUGUGCAUCAUCAGCCUUUUCCUCCUUAUCUUGUUAACACACUAAUUUCACUUUAAUUCUGGUCUAAAUUGGUAGGCUGAUGCACAUAACCAUGGAUGCGAAGGGCAAUGAGUGAGUUUUGCGGAGGCUUUGGAAGCGGGUACAGUCUGAGAUCUCAGUCUUCUAGCAUCGUCGCUGCCUAACAACUUCGUCCUGUGUGAUAGAAGAAGAGAGCAACAAUCUCCAUAGAAAGGAGCUGGGGAAGAUGGGCCCACAGCCCCUUACUACAGGCACUUCAAUCUUUUUAAGCAAGUCCUUUGUGUAUUUUUGGCAUUGGCAAACUUUGAAUCACAAAGCAUUACUGAAGGACGCAAGUUAAGCCAUUAACUUACUUUGUCAUGUUAGAACUGAAAUGAUCAA
RNA transcript from Populus euphratica (Euphrates poplar), 3968 nucleotides. It is a transcript of the gene named pentatricopeptide (PPR) repeat-containing protein, with no coding region annotated. NCBI's taxonomy places the organism in Eukaryota, Viridiplantae, Streptophyta, Magnoliopsida, Malpighiales, Salicaceae. The transcript is spliced from 4 exons. The record is from RefSeq and is a predicted model, not a curated record.